GCGGGGGUAGCCAAGUCUGGUCAAAGGCGCAGGGCUUAGGACCCUGAGCAAGCUUGCUGGGGAAUCCCGUAGGGGUUCGUGGGUUCAAAUCCCACCCCCCGCA
RNAcentral lists this transfer RNA (103 nucleotides) under Nitrososphaeria archaeon. RNAcentral describes it as "tRNA-Leu". It matches the Rfam family "tRNA". From Rfam's summary of the family: Transfer RNA (tRNA) molecules are approximately 80 nucleotides in length. Their secondary structure includes four short double-helical elements and three loops (D, anti-codon, and T loops). Lineage: Archaea; Thermoproteati; Nitrososphaerota; Nitrososphaeria. The record is from RNAcentral.